GGCUGGUCCGAUGGUAGUGGGUUAUCAGAACUUAUUAACAUUAGUGUCACUAUUUGGUAUACAACCCCCCACUGCUAAAUUUGACUGGCUUAAA
This 94-nucleotide Y RNA is filed under the name Cebus imitator (Panamanian white-faced capuchin). Its description in RNAcentral is "Y RNA (ENSCCAG00000008711.1)". It matches the Rfam family "Y RNA". From Rfam's summary of the family: Y RNAs are components of the Ro ribonucleoprotein particle (Ro RNP), in association with Ro60 and La proteins. The Y RNAs and Ro60 and La proteins are well conserved, but the function of the Ro RNP is not known. In humans the RNA component can be one of four small RNAs -- hY1, hY3, hY4 and hY5. Lineage: Eukaryota; Metazoa; Chordata; Mammalia; Primates; Cebidae. The record is from Rfam by way of RNAcentral.